Molecule: unclassified non-coding RNA, 210 nt
Filed under: Hevea brasiliensis (rubber tree)
Lineage: Eukaryota; Viridiplantae; Streptophyta; Magnoliopsida; Malpighiales; Euphorbiaceae
Source: RNAcentral
UUUUUUUUUUUUUUAUUUUUCUUUCACUGACCAGCAAAUUCUCUCUGCAUCACUCCGUUGAAUUCACAAAUACGUUGUUGUUAAUUUUGCUCGUCCACACUGUAAGUCCACCUUCAGUGGGCAAAUUGCAAUACCCGUUGAAGUCACUUACUCGCCGUUUAGAAUCUGACGGCAAGCUAGCAUGAAAGUAGAGGCCUUAGGCCCGGGGGG